Molecule: long non-coding RNA, 680 nt
Filed under: Equus asinus (donkey)
Lineage: Eukaryota; Metazoa; Chordata; Mammalia; Perissodactyla; Equidae
Description: lncRNA (ENSEASG00005031402.1, ENSEASG00020024247.1)
Source: RNAcentral
AGAGGGUCUACUCAGACAGACUGACAACAUUUGUGGGCAAGCCCAGCUCAGCUUCUGCAGCCAGCCUGCAGUUUGCCAGUUUGGAUCCUGGGUGCAAACCUACGCACUGCUCAACAAGCCAUGCUGAGGUGGCGUCCCACACAGAGGAGCUAGAAUGACCUACAACUGGAAUAUACAACUAGAGGUGUAAGGCCAGCUCCAGAGAGGAGGAUUUGAACUGAGGCUAAAACACACCUCCAUAUCGGUGACCAUUGCAAAGUCCCAAGUCACCUGUGAUUUCAAAGUCACCAAUGACUAAUAACUCCACAAGAUUCUAGAUGAGCAGCAGAUGUGGUUACGUCCUAAACCUACUGGAUGGAUCUGGUGUCAAGUCUCCUCUGGACAGCCGGUGACGCUGAUGGGCCCCCACCGCCACAAAGAACAUCAAUCAGGGAGGACUUCAGGGGGGAGUAAUCACAUAUCUUGAAAAGAGAAUAAUAGCCAGAAGCCCCUGAAGUUCUCACCAUGAAGCACCAUGGCUCCAACACUCAGAACCCCGCUCAGGACAAAGGACUCUGAGCAGAUACCAAACGGUGGAACCUGGGGUGGUCUUAUCUGCAGGGCUUUCUGCUUUUUAUUGACCGUUGGCAGACUAGGAGGAAGACAGGAGACAACAGGGAUUCUGUACCUAAGGCGGCAAC